RNAcentral lists this ribosomal RNA (234 nucleotides) under Nematoda environmental sample. RNAcentral's name for it is "partial large subunit ribosomal RNA". It matches the Rfam family "Eukaryotic large subunit ribosomal RNA", at positions 745 to 978 of the family's 3401-position model. Lineage: Eukaryota; Metazoa; Nematoda. The record is from RNAcentral.
UUGGGGCGGUGCAGUGUGGCGUCGUCAUGAUUGCUUGCAAUGUGGCGAACACAGAGCAGUCAUGUUGGGACCCGAAAGAUGGUGAACUAUGCCUGAGCAGGACGAAGCCAGAGGAAACUCUGGUGGAGGUCCGAAGCGGUUCUGACGUGCAAAUCGAUCGUCAGACUUGGGUAUAGGGGCGAAAGACUAAUCGAACCAUCUAGUAGCUGGUUCCCUCCGAAGUUUCCCCCAGGA